This 406-nucleotide ribosomal RNA is filed under the name uncultured bacterium. RNAcentral's name for it is "partial 16S ribosomal RNA". It matches the Rfam family "Bacterial small subunit ribosomal RNA", at positions 30 to 526 of the family's 1533-position model. The record is from RNAcentral.
AUUGAACGCUGGCGGCAGGCUUAACACAUGCAAGUCGAGCGAGCGGCGGACGGGUGAGUAAUGCUUAGGACUCUGCCUCUUAGUGGGGGACAACAUCUCGAAAGGGAUGCUAAUACCGCAUACUAAUCGAUGAGCCUAAGUCGGAUUAGCUAGUAGGUGGGGUAACGUGUCACCUAGGCGACGAUCCCUAGCUGGUCUGAGAGGAUGACCAGCCACACUGGAACUGAGACACGGUCCAGACUCCUACGUGAGGCAGAAGUGGGGAAUAGUGCACAAUGGGCGCAAGCCUGAUGCAGCCAUGCCGCGUGUGUGAAGAAGGCCUUCGGGUUGUAAAGCACUUUCAGCGGGGAGGCGUUACCCGCAGAAGAAGCACCGGCUAACUCCGUGCCAGCAGCCGCGGUAAUAC